AACGUAGGGGGCCAGCGUUGCUCGGAAUUACUGGGCGUAAAGGGUCCGUAGGCGGUGUGGCAAGUCGGAAGUGAAAUCUCUGGGCUUAACUCAGAGGCUGCUUCCGAAACUGCUGUGCUAGAGGGUGAGAGAGGCAAGUGGAAUUGCGGGUGUAGCGGUGAAAUGCGUAGAUAUCCGCAGGAACAUCCGAGGCGAAGGCGGCUUGCUGGAUCAUUUCUGACGCUGAGGGACGAAAGCUAGGGGAGCAAACAGG
Molecule: ribosomal RNA, 253 nt
Filed under: uncultured bacterium
Lineage: Bacteria
Description: partial 16S ribosomal RNA
Rfam family: Bacterial small subunit ribosomal RNA
Source: RNAcentral